This 66-nucleotide transfer RNA is filed under the name Marmota monax (woodchuck). RNAcentral's name for it is "tRNA.Trp". It matches the Rfam family "tRNA". Rfam says of the family: Transfer RNA (tRNA) molecules are approximately 80 nucleotides in length. Their secondary structure includes four short double-helical elements and three loops (D, anti-codon, and T loops). Lineage: Eukaryota; Metazoa; Chordata; Mammalia; Rodentia; Sciuridae. The record is from RNAcentral.
UGGGGUGUAGCUCAGUGGUAGAGCACUUGCCCAGAAUGAAAUCCAGGGUUCAAUCCCCUGCACCAG